This 229-nucleotide ribosomal RNA is filed under the name uncultured bacterium. RNAcentral describes it as "partial 16S ribosomal RNA". It matches the Rfam family "Bacterial small subunit ribosomal RNA", at positions 568 to 796 of the family's 1533-position model. The record is from RNAcentral.
UGCGCAGGCGGGGUAGUAAGUCAGUGGUGAAAUCCUGCGGCUCAACCGUAGAACUGCCAUUGAAACUGCUAUCCUUGAGUGUAGUUGAGGUGGGCGGAAUGUGUAAUGUAGCGGUGAAAUGCAUAGAUAUUACACAGAACACCGAUUGCGAAGGCAGCUCACUAAACUACUACUGACGCUGAGGCACGAAAGCGUGGGGAGCGAACAGGAUUAGAUACCCUGGUAGUCC